ACGCCAAAAGCGCUACUCCCUGUAACUGUUUCAAAGCCCAGACAUCGGCCAGAGCGAUGGGCAAGGGAAAAAAUAAAAGGCAUCCAAAUUGGACGGAAGCAGCAAAACUCUCUGUUCAGAGAUGUCACCAUCUUACUGCAGAAAACCGUAGAGAUGCCACCUGUCCUCUCUGGAACUAGUUAGAGCCAGGACAAGGGCCCAGGUGUCCUUCCUAAAACAAUGAUUGCUUGGGACCCUGGGGGCUUGGUGUGCAGUUGUCUAGCGCCGGUGCUCUGGAAUGUGCCUACGAUGGCUUCACCGGCUCACUCUCACCCAGUCCUUCCUUAGGUGUUGUCUAUUGUGCUGGAAGACUCUUAAGGAAAUCAUGAGCUCCUUGUCCUUACAGGGAGGACAGACAACUCUUUGCACUAUGAGGCACGUGUAAAGUGGGGGUUCAGGUCCCAGCAAGAGUAGAGGCAGGUAAAGGAGCAAAACCCAGAAUUUCAUGGAGUCCUUCAGGCUCCGCACCUCCGGGUGAAGCCCGGCUCAGGGUGUGUGUCCCCAGACAACCACAAUUUCUGCUUUGCCAACCGGAGCGUGAGGUCCCCGUGCUGUGGCUGACAGCCCUGUUCCUGCUCAGCUGGAAUUCAGGUUCCAACUGACUUUUCAGAUUUAAAACAGUCUCCCCCAUCUCUGAGAAAAAAAAAAGACAACCCUCAAAAAGAAAGUGUCGUCAGGUCGGCCUUAUCAUCUAGGACAGGACUUUGGGUUUUCUUGGUUUUGACACAGUUUGACAAGUCUUAGAAGAGGUGUGACAGCACAUGGCGUUAGAAGUACUUAGAACCAUAGAGAAGGUUUGAAUUGACGAAAAACGGAUGUGUCAAAAGUGAACACACACAUCCACACCAAAGCGUGUACACAGACGUUCGUGGCAUCUUUAUUCACAACAGCCGAGAAGUGGAUACAGGCCCGACGUCCUUCACAGGGGGCAUGAAUACGUAAAACGUGGCGCCACACACUACACAAGAGGUGGAGCAGUGUGGACAACGCCGAUCCGUCUUUGGCCUCCGCCGUGUUCAGCGAGGAUCGUUGACCGCUCGACGCCCCCGUCAGGGAGUCGCCCCGAGCAAUCUGAGCAAACCGGGGAAGUGGCCGGCCCCGAUUUCUGGUCUCAAAGUGCCUUCUCAGUCCGGGGGACAUAUCUUGCCUCCCGCUCCUGCCACAACACGGGGGCACCCGAAACAUUACGUGAAUGAAGCCAGACACAGAAGGACACCUGCUGUAGGAGUCUAUUUACGGAAAUGUGCCAGUAGGCCAAUCCAGAGAGACAGAAAUUUGAACUUUUGGCAUACCAAGGACGUAAACAGAAUUCUGGAGGUGAUUCUGAGGCUGCUGUGGGGCAUGGUGUUGGAGCUGUAGCUCCAGUCUACCCUAGAGUCCGAGGGAGGCCCCUCUUAGCGCGACCCCGGCAGCAUGGGAGGCUCUCAGGAAGGACAGCCCUGUGCAUCAGGACAGAGGAGGCUCUGGGAACCUCUGGGACUUGCGGCUUGCUCACCCAAAGCUCCCCACUCACCCCUGCUGGGGAGUGACCGCGCAGUGCCUGGGCAGGCCGUCCACCCCCCCCUCCGGCACUCCCACGGGACAAGCGGCUGCUGGACCGGGAACGGGCAGGCAAGUUGACCAGGGGGGAGAGGCAUGACGAAAGCUGCACUUGGCUUUAGCAUUAAGGCCGGCACUGGGUGGAGGGUCCCACGGGGAAGGUCAGCACCUCCCCUGGAGGAGCCGGUGCGGCCCCCCAGGUCCCUCCGGCUGUCCCCCUGCCGCCGUGGGCCCGUCCGUCCACAGUGGUCACGCUCGCCAGCUCUCUCUGCCUCCCUGGGCUGGCUGAAAGUGCUUGGUGCCUGGGAGGGAGAGGUGGGGCUGGAUGCCCACGCUGCCCCCAAAGGGCUCUCAUUUGAGGAUGAAGUUAAUGAGCAGCUGACACGCCAGGAACACACAGAGCAGGAACCAGGAUCGGGGGUGCUGCAGGAGGCCUGGCGCCGGCACCUGCCUAGCCCUUGCCGUGGAGCUCAGCAUGGCUGAGAGGUGCCUGCAACGACAGGGGGGGAGAGUGGCUAAGCCAGGGUGGGGGUGCAUCCCUACCUUCAAUGGAUGGCUUAGUGCGCAGGGGCCCCCAGGCGCAGAUUCCAGGGAAAGGGGUUCAUGGCUGGGGGAGCUGGGCCUCUUGUAGCCUCUUUUCCACUCGUGCUGUGACGGGCUGAGCUGGACCACCUUGCCCCAAUAGUCCCAUGUUGGAGUCCUGACCCAACAGGUCAGAUGUGACUCUGUUUGGAGAAGGGGUCUUUAAGAAGCGAUUCAGUUUAAGUGAGGUCACGGGAGUGAGCUCUAAUCCAGUGUGACCGGGGUCCUUAUAAGAAAAGGACAUCAGGACACAGCCCCGCAUGGAGGGAUGACCCCGUGAGGACCCAGAGAGAGCACCGCUGUCCACCCACGAGAGAGGCUUCGGGGGAAUCCAGCCCUGCCCACGCCUGCAUCCCGGGCGUCGGACUCCUGGACUGGGGGACAGUGAACGUCUAUUGCAUAAGCCCCCGUCUGUAGACUAUGUCAGGGCCACACCCAGGACACUCGUAACCUCGCCCUGACUGGCUGCACUGUGUGUCUGCAGAAACGUCUGGCUGUUCUCCUGGCUCCCUGCCUCGUGGCCAGCCUCCUCUGUGGUGCCAGGGGGCUGACUCACUCUGACUCAAGUGCGGCUGGGCCAGCCCAUGCCUGGACUUCCAGCCCCCAGCUGCUUUUUCCCUGCACAGAGCUCAGGGACCAAGCAUCGCUGGCUCAUCCUGUUUAAACAAGACCCCCUACAGUGUGGCACCCCCAACUCCCCCCCGCAACCCCCCUACCGGCCUGCCCCGGGUAGAGCUGGCCACCUUCUUCCUGUCCUCCAUCCAUCAGACCCUCUGCAAACCACGGGGGUUCUAGUUCUGAGCGACGCACGGCCUCCCCGGCCUCAGCAGCUCCCUGGCCCCGUCCCCGGGAGCGACACUUACCUGUGCAGCUCCUGCUGGGCCUCCCGGAUCGACAGGAUGGCCUCGUGCAGUGCCUGCAGCCGCCGCGCCUCCUUCCCACACCGUGGGCACGGGCUCCUGCUGCCUGGGAUGUCCGGCCACCGGUCACAGGACCCAGGGGACAGGGGGUGGAGGGAGAAUCAAAGACGAGCCGGCAUGUCCGGGGAGCCGCCACGCAGGGUCCCGGGGUCGUGCCCGGCUUGGGCCCCUGCCCCACCUCUUGGGAGCCUUCAGGUGAAGCUAACAACACGGGGAGUCGACGGACAGGCAUAGAGGGAACCCCCAAGCUCAGCGGGCCUCUAAUAAGCCCUGGGAGACAGAAAUGGCAAGGCACAGCUCAUGCACCUAGAGACGGGGACAAAGUCGGGGAGGAGCCGGCACACCCGUGAGGACAACAGGAGGCACAAUCAGAUGGUCAUACGGAGAGACGGAUACUGUCCAGCCCUGCCCCUUGCACCGCCCCUGCCAGCCAAAGGGGGUGCCGCACCGUCUGAGUGCAGGGCUGGGGACUGCUGCCCUCCGCACCCCUGGUCUGCCCCUGGGCUCGGGGAGGCGUGGAGGACCCUGGGAGGGCGGUCAAGGUGCAGCACACAGCUGCCCAGGGAAGGUGCUUCUCUGGCCUCUCCCACCCUGCAGAGUAGCCGGCCCAGGAGGGCUCACCGGGAAUGAAGGUGCUGCCGUCCCCCUC
Callorhinus ursinus (northern fur seal) is the source of this 3729-nucleotide long non-coding RNA. RefSeq lists it as uncharacterized. Lineage: Eukaryota; Metazoa; Chordata; Mammalia; Carnivora; Otariidae. The record is from RefSeq and is a predicted model, not a curated record.